Molecule: ribosomal RNA, 492 nt
Filed under: uncultured bacterium
Lineage: Bacteria
Description: partial 16S ribosomal RNA
Rfam family: Bacterial small subunit ribosomal RNA
Source: RNAcentral
AGUGAACGCUGGCGGUAGGCCUAGCACAUGCAAGUCGAACGGCAGCACAGUAAGAGCUUGCUCUUACGGGUGGCGAGUGGCGGACGGGUGAGGAAUACAUCGGAAUCUACUUUUUCGUGGGGGAUAACGUAGGGAAACUUACGCUAAUACCGCAUACGACUUACGGGUGAAAGCAGGGGAUCUUCGGACCUUGCGCGAUUGAAUGAGCCGAUGUCGGAUUAGCUAGUUGGCGGGGUAAAGGCCCACCAAGGCGACGAUCCGUAGCUGGUCUGAGAGGAUGAUCAGCCACACUGGAACUGAGACACGGUCCAGACUCCUACGGGAGGCAGCAGUGGGGAAUAUUGGACAAUGGGCGCAAGCCUGAUCCAGCCAUACCGCGUGGGUGAAGAAGGCCUUCGGGUUGUAAAGCCCUUUUGUUGGGAAAGAAAAGCAGCAGGUUAAUACCCCGCUGUUCUGACGGUACCCAAAGAAUAAGCACCGGCUAACUUCGUG